Molecule: ribosomal RNA, 361 nt
Filed under: uncultured bacterium
Lineage: Bacteria
Description: bacterial SSU rRNA
Rfam family: Bacterial small subunit ribosomal RNA
Source: RNAcentral
AACGAACGCUGGCGGCAGGCCUAACACAUGCAAGUCGAACGCUCCGCAAGGGGAGUGGCGCACGGGUGAGUAACACGUGGGAACCUACCUUCUGGUACGGAACAACCAAGGGAAACUUUGGCUAAGGCCGUAUACGACCUCCGGGUGAAAGAUUGAUCGCCGGAAGAGGGGCCCGCGUCCGAUUAGGUAGUUGGUGAGGUAACGGCUCACCAAGCCUUCGAUCGGUAGCUGGUCUGAGAGGAUGACCAGCCACACUGGGACUGAGACACGGCCCACGACUCCUACGGGAGGCAGCAGUGGGGAAUAUUGGACAAUGGGCGCAAGCCUGAUCCAGCCAUGCCGCGUGAGUGAUGAAGGCCUU